This is a long non-coding RNA of Neogale vison (American mink), 233 nucleotides long. RefSeq lists it as uncharacterized. The record is from RefSeq and is a predicted model, not a curated record. Lineage: Eukaryota; Metazoa; Chordata; Mammalia; Carnivora; Mustelidae. The transcript has 3 exons.
UGUUGCUUUUCCACAUGUGGAUUCACAACAUGCUCCUCUGCUUCAUGCUGGAAUUAGUGGAUAAACCCAGACUAUGAGAUGGUUCGGCAGGAGGCAGUGUCGGUACGAAUCUCACGGAAAGACGAAGCAGGUGAAGCAAGAUGACUAAUGGUUGGUCUAUACAGAUCACAUCAUCCAUCCGGUCAUCUCUUUGAAUGCUGUGAGAUAACCACAAGAUAAUUUGGACAAAGAGG